Molecule: ribosomal RNA, 253 nt
Filed under: uncultured bacterium
Lineage: Bacteria
Description: partial 16S ribosomal RNA
Rfam family: Bacterial small subunit ribosomal RNA
Source: RNAcentral
UACGGGGGGGGGCAAGCGUUGUUCGGAAUUACUGGGCGUAAAGGGCUCGUAGGCGGCCAACUAAGUCAGACGUGAAAUCCCCAGGCUCAACCUGGGAACUGCGUCUGAUACUGGAUGGCUUGAAUCCGGGAGAGGGAUGCAGAAUUCCAGGUGUAGCGGUGAAAUGCGUAGAUAUCUGGAGGAAUACCGGUGGCGAAGGCGGCAUCCUGGACCGGCAUUGACGCUGAGGAGCGAAAGCCAGGGAGCAAACGGG